This is an RNA transcript of Dipodomys ordii (Ord's kangaroo rat), 881 nucleotides long. It is a transcript of the gene named prohibitin pseudogene, with no coding region annotated. The transcript has a single exon. The record is from RefSeq and is a predicted model, not a curated record. Lineage: Eukaryota; Metazoa; Chordata; Mammalia; Rodentia; Heteromyidae.
GGGGAAAAUUAAUGUGGAGGUCAGAGUGGAAGCAGAUGUGAGUGGGUCCAGCAGAAGGAAACAUGGCUGCCCAAAAUAUCCGAGUCCAUUGGCAAGUUUGGCAUGGCCCUAGCUGUGGCAGCAGGCGUGGUGAACUCUGCCUUACAUAAUGUGGACGCUGGGCGCAGGGCUGUCAUCUUGACCGAUUCCGUGGUGUUCAGACAUUGUGGUAGGAGGAGGGUACAGAAACCAAUGAUCUUGGCCUGCCGCUCUCGGCCAAGUAAUGAGCCCGUCAUCACCGGGAGCAAAGGUUUGCAGAACGUCAGGAUCACACUGCGCAGCGUCUUCCGGCCGGUCGCGAGCCCGCUCUCUCGCAUCUACACUAGCGUCGGAGAGGACUAUGAUGAGCGUGUGCUGCCAUCCAUCACCACAGAGAUCCUCAAGCCUGUGGUGGCUUGCUCUGAUGCCAGAGAACGGAUCACCCAGAGAGAGCUGGUCUCCAGGCAGGUGAGCGAUGACCUCACAGAGCGAGCAGCAACCUUUGGGCUCAUCCUGGAUGACGUGGCCCUCACAUACCUGACCUUCGGGAAGGAAUUCACAGAAGCAGUGGAAGCCAAACAGGUGGCUCAGCAGGAAGCAGAGAGGGCCAGAUUUGUGGUGGAAAAGGCUGAGCAGCAGCAGAAGGCGGCCAUCAUCCCUGCAGAGGGCGACUCCCUGGCCACGGCAGGUGAUGGCCUGAUUGAGCUGCGCGGAGGACUUUGCAUACCAGCUCUGCCGCCCACCGAACAUCACUUACCUGCCUUCAGGGCAGUCUGUGCUGCUCCAGCUGCCCAGCGAGGCCUGCCCUGCCUGUACUUCCUUGGGCCAACUAGACCCCAGCCCUUAAGAUUCUGAGCAGCAUC